UAAGAUGUUUAUAUCAGGGAAUAACCUUUGCAACGUUAAGUAAAAGGUUUCAUAUGAGAUAUAUUGAUAAGCGGUAACAUAUGACCAAUAAGCAUGUGAUGUGUUCCACUAUUUAGUUUCAAUCACAAGAAGUUCCAGGUACCCAUCAAUUUCAUAUAAGCAUUUUAUAAUAGAAUUUUGGACAGUCUCAAAAAAUGUGCACCACUAAUUAACACAUGCAACCAUUCUUACAUAGCGAAGGCAAAGCUUCAAUUACUUUCAGUAGCUUGAAACUCAGAAACUCAGAAAGCAUAAUUUGUUAUCAGUCCUGUACAAGGCUCAUUUAAUUUUGAAACCUUCUUAUGCUUGAAACCAUCAAUGUAGAAACUGAAACAUCACUGUGCACAGAGGUUAUCGUUCUACUGAGUCACCGGACGAAUAAACACAUAUCACCAUGAUCAAGGCCUCGACCAAGUGACAUGUCUUUUAGAAAAUAUAUGUAGAAUCUCCCGUCGUCGGACUUAGUCCCCCGAAAUGCGGAGACCUAGAGACAUAAAAACAAAUUAGCACCACAUAGUUAAUGACAGAGAACCUAUCAAUGAAAUUCCAUCUAAGCCACCGAAAUUUACCGGUUGCGCCAAUGACUCAAGUACCUAAUUUAAAACAAUAUUUAUCUGCUUAGCAUUUGGUACCGACAUUUUUUCCAGAGAAUAACAUCACAAGUUUUAGGAUGCCUUUUCUAAUUGAAGACGUAAAAUCCCCGCUUACAUCAUGGACUAUAACAGUGUCCCUUUGACUAAUAUAUAUGUAAUAAUAUUAAUGUAUGAACAUGUAUAUCAUACCAGUGUGCCUCUGCUAGUUAACUACCCUUUAUUAUAAGUGUGCAACAAGCAUUACCCUUUGCAUAUAUAAAUAGUAAGCAGGCGAUCUGUUGGAUUCUAUAACCCAUAUAUUAAAAAUAAAAUCCUUUAUCGUAAGUAGCUACCAUUGGUUUGGACAUACGUAAACAAUAAGCAGGUGGUAUACACUGAAUUCUGGAACACCCGCAUUAAUUAUCUGUGCACUUAGCCUUCCCUUAUCAGCAAGCAGCAAAUAUUCUCUCAAAGAAGUAAUCUCAUGUAUUGCAAAAAGCUAAGAUAACUGGGCACAUCCCACACACGUUGAUAUUAACCAACAUGCACAUAUUUGUCCUAAAGCAGUAAGCAUGAAGCAAACCAAUCAUAAGCACUAACAGAAAAAACCUUCUCAUGUCUCCCAACAGUUCAAAAAACCUUCAGGAAUGCCUACUAAUUAGCAAGGCCAUGUUCUAGCGUACAAAAAAAUUAUUUCCAUCCAGUAUAUAAUGCAGAAGCAAGUAUUCUCUGGAAGGAUAUAUAUAUUCAUAUAUACCAAAUAGACAUAGUAUAAGUUCCAACGAUAAUGUCAUACCUAUAGCAGAGACAUAGCCUCAAGAAACGUUGUCCAUAGUAAAAAAAACCAUUGCAGCAGAAACCAGAAGACAACAUCAGUGUGGUUCGCAAGAAGAGGAAGCCAUUCUGUUCAUGCCUAGCACAACAGCAAAUUGAAGAGAACCUACAUUACACGGCAUAAAAUCCUGUUAAGAAGAAAAUCUAAUGUGAUAUGUAACUAUAUGGAUACACUCGAGUUGUUAUAAUUACUUAGGAAUUUUGAAUGGAAAAUUUAAGAAAAUAAUUCAAAUUAUUGCUUUUCCUAUAGGGGCCCUAUAACCAGAAUAUAGCUGCACAGAAGAUCAUCAGGUAAAAAAACUUUAGUAGAUUCAUGAAAAGCAAAUGCCAAGAUAAAAGGUCUGACAUAACUGUCCAGAUUUUGUAUCAACCAGUCAUAUAUAUACAAGCAUUUUACCUCUAUAAACAACAUUUUAAUGGUGGAGUAAUCAAUCUAAACAAUUUUAAAUUAAAAACAAAAUAUCUAAAGACUAAGCUCUAGUUCAUGUAUUUUAGAGAAGUUCAGUUCGGCGAAACUACGGAAGCAAAGGUCUGAAGAUAUGAUACACGUCGAACUAUGUAUUUCCAUCAGCCUAAAAAUUCUGAGAAUUACAUGGUACCGAUACACGUCGAACUCUGUUAAAGCAGUACAGUUACAAGGCCAGAAAGACGGUUCAAGUAACGAUGCAGGGUGCUGAACAGACCUGCUUCAACUUCUUCAGAGAAUCUUCUACAUCUGCUAGCUUCUCUGAAACUGUUUUCUCAAGAUCAGAAGAGUAACCUUUUCCUUCUUCCAUGUUUCAGAGGUAGUAUUUGAGUGUGAGCAAAGUGCCUUCCACACAGAAGAACUGUUGAAAAGACAAGUAACAGCAAGAUCUUUCCUACACAAGCAACAACAAAGAAUUGUUGAGAGUAUCGUCAAAUUUAAAAUUUCUGAGCUUUUAUGACAAAUUUUGACCCAAAAAAAGUUAUCGGAAUUUUUAAAAUUUUCACAGAUCAUCAACCAUACCAGGUGUAGCAAUCUGGGUAAUUUUCACAAAUAUACCUACCAAAUGUACUAACCUGGGAAAUUUUACACAAAAAAUAUGAAUAAUUCCUAGAAGGAAGGCAGUGGUAAGCGAAUAAAUUUCAGUUCAAAUCGGCAUUGUUCCAAAUACCGGCCAGUUAAUUGGCAUCUCGGUCAGUUAAUCGCUACUCGGUUGGUCAACGAAUUCGCCUAUUUAUCCCUACUCAGCACCCGGCCAAUAUGGUACCAAUUACCGAUAUCCUGAAUGUUGCAAAUCGGGUAUCUAAACUAUUCUCUCAGCAGUAUAAUUGCAUUCUUAUAGAAAAGAAAGCAAGUAAAAAGUAGGAGGUACUUUCUAGAAAGCAGCAAGAUUGAAGUAUACACUGAUUUAUUUGUAAGAUGUGUCUUUAUUAUAUUCAGCAUAUAACAUGGUUGACAACAAUAGGGGGUAGAAAUAAGUAUUGCUAGAGCUUUGAACAAAAGCUAAUCACUAUAGCUCUGUAUUGUUGCAUGUUGUUAUCUGAAUUCAGUAAAUCUACUAUGCUUGUGCUCUUUAGGAAACAUCUCCAAAGAUUUGCAGCAAUUUCAGUAUAACAUCUCCAGGUUUUUGAAGUCAUGUUCAUUAUUAUUCUUUCGUAUAGAGUUGUUUACUAAUUUCAGUUCUUCUUGAAACAUCACAUAUCACUGGCUACUGCUUCUUUUCCAAAAUGGGGAAUGCGGCAAAAAUACAUAGCCUAAAAUUACAUAAUACAACCUUGAUCGACAGUUUGCAAGAAGAACUUCAGAAAAGAAGGGAAUAUUAAGAAAAAAAGAAACAGAGAAAUAUUGUAAUGGUUACGAAGUUGUCUUUCUGAAUGUGAUCAGCCCUUCUAAGGUAAUAUUGCAAUAUGCAAGGUGCACAACACCUUGUAAGUUGCAGAAACACAUAUAGGGAUCUUAAAAAAACUCAAACCUUCGAAGCACUGUCACUAUCUAAAUACUAAAUUCUAAUUCUUGGGAACUUAGAAAGAUAAAAUCAGUGCUGACAUGCUAGUGGAGAGCAUAGUGAACACAAUAGUGCUUAAGAAAUUUGUCUGCGAUCUUCUCUAGAUAUGGUUAUAACAUCACCUUGCAUGAAUACAUCAUGGCAUAGUUGAGGGCAUUGGACAAUCUCUACAUGCACUGGGUGGUCUAUUUAAUAUUCUUAAAGGAUCCAUGUCAAAAGAUAAGAUUUGACGGUAUAAGUAGAAGAACACAUGUGUAGUUAUUGACAGAAACAGAGAAGUAACUAUAAUCCAAACAAUGCUUCAGCAAGAAAACCUACUUGCUCUUAACUGGACAGCAGUCAUUGCUCGCGAAGUGUUGUUGGCCAUCUGAAGAGCAGGUGUAGGAGAGAGACGAGUGGCGGCCUAAUUUUGGCUGUCAUAAGGGUCGGGAUCCGCCUCCCUUAGCUUCUUCACAUCAAGGACUGGCCUGAACUUAUUUGGGUGUCGGUACCCUGACUCUUGGAAUGUAACAAAGGAUCAAUGGAUUAGUAACAAAACUAACUGAUUGUAGCUUGCAUACGUUAUAUGUACUCACUAUUUUACUGAGACAUAUCAACACUAUAAUGUAGAAAAUGCAUGCAGAUCAACAUAACUGCACAAAAACCACCCAUGCAUGACACUGAAAAUUGCACGAGAGGCUAGAGCUAUUUUGUGCUGAUCGAAACAAUAUAUAUUCAAGGAAAUCUGUAUUUAUACAUGGAUAAUAUCUAACUUGAAAGGCCAAAUUAGAUUUAGGACAUCAAACUAUGGCCUGUUUGAGAACACCAAACUAAACUCCUGCCUGUUCAAUUCAGAAGACGAAAAAGCUUCAGCUGGUACAACAUCAAAGCGAUUUUUGCAGAGUUAGAGAAUUUCAUUGUCGUGAAUUAGUGGACAGCGAGAUUUAGGCAUUUUUUCCAUUGGAAUUAACGGCACUCUUUAAUCCUCACGGUCAUCCAGAUGUAUAUAGUACAUACUAAUCUAGCAUACAACUGUAUGGCCCAGCUUGAAUCACAUGGGAUGAUGAAAUACAUAGGCUAUGGAUAUGACGAACCUGAAAAAGAUAGGCAAAUAACACAAAUGAUUACCUGCAAGCUGCAUCGUCAUUCAUACUUGACCACUUAAAUCUUGGAGGCCGUCGUCCAUGCUGAUGCUUGGCCCUUGCCAUCUAAGCCGUCUCUAUCUUGGAUGGCCGACAUGGAGAAAGGGGCUGGAGGAAGAAGAUGGAGAAGCCGUGGAUCCGAGGCCUAGAUUGGGGACGAAUUAGCCUUCCUAUAUUAGACACCAAUUCAUUGACUAAAAAGAAAGUGGCGAGAGAAAUCCAUAACUGAUGGAUAGUACAGAAUGGGAUGAAAUCAUAUGUCCCCAGCAAAGCAUCUCCAUAGAAGAGGUAAAGAGAGUGGGGCGGGGGCAGAUGGCCAUCGCUCCCGCUCCCGUGGUCUCGACCGCCACCUAUUUAGGCUAUUGCAGCCCGCAUCGCUCGAUUUCGCUGCGUCCCUUCUUCCUCCUUCAGACCACGGCCAGGCAGAGAGAGAUCGAGGAGAUGGAUGACGAGGGUAGCCAAACCCUAGCCACAUGAGCUCCUUCCUCCUCCACGGCCAACACAGCAUGGCCAGCUGCUGCUCCCCUCCUCCUGCCGAGUCUGGAUCGAGGCCGCGCUCGUGGAGGCAGAGCACGGGACGACCGCAUCUGGGCCACCACGCGACACGGACGAGGCGCGGCUGGCUGUUGCCCCCUCCUGCCGAGCCGCUCCUCUGCUCGAGCUCAAGGUGGCUAUGGCGACGAGGCGGAGAACAAGGGUUGGAGGUCGCCGGUGGCCAGUGAGGGCGAGGCGAGGCCCUGGCGCGGCGGUAGCGGGAGAGGAGGCGGCGGCGGGGGUCGCGAGGGAGCGGAAGGAAUCGAGGAUGACGUGAGAGGGGCUGACGAGGGAGAUAUUUUCAUCUUCGUGGCUAAUUCAAUCGCACCGAAACAAGGCGAAACCACCUCAUGAGGUCCACCCGCCAUCGACUCUUGAAGCAGCCCCCAACGUAAAAAAAGACCAACGGCUGACCAGACGCCAACAGUAAAAAAAACACACUGUUACUGCUCGAGUAACUCCAUCGUGUGGUCAAAGACAUCGUGCGCGCUCGAUGCCUCCAGAACGGCGGGUUGUCUAGCGUCAUUUAUCUUUCCCUAUUUUUUUUUUUUACUAAUAAAGCAAAUAGUGCUUCUGGUCGUCCGUCAAAAAAAUACCCUUAAAGUUGCUAUAAAUUACCCGCUGUGCCACUCAUAAGUCAAGAAAACGAUUCAAUUUUUUGGAAGUCAUCGUCGCGCACAGGAGUUUAUAAAAUAAAUACCCCGCGCAUGUCACAGACGCUCUACCAGCUCAGUGGUUGAAGCAUAUCUUCUCCACCGCGCAGACCCGGGUUCGAUCCCCAGGGUCGUCCUAUUUCCUCUACCUUUUUGUCAAGCACCUCCUCCCUCCCACAUACGCGUUCAUGGGCCGGCCCGUGGGGCGUCACGCCCCUAUUCUGUUUUCAUUUCGUUUUUUCUUUUCUCAUUUCUGUUUUUGUUUUUCCUUCUUUAAAUUAAUUCGAGAUUUUCAAAUUACAAAAGGUUGCAAGUUUUGAGAAAAAUAUUCGAGAAAUCAUAGAAUGUUUAUGAAUUCAAAAAAUGUGUGAGAACUCAUAAAUUUUCCGCAGUUUUCAUUUUUUUGGUGAUUCGCAAAACUGUUCGCAAAUUAUAAAAAAAUCACAAUUUUUCAAAAUUUGUUCCCCAAUUAUAAAAAAAGUUUAUCGAUACAAAAAAGGUUUGCUAACUCAAAAAAUGUUCAUCAAUUCAAAAAAUAUGCAUGCAUUUCAAAAAAUGUUCGUCUGAACAAAACAAAUGUUCAUGAAUUCGAAAACAAUUCAUGCAUUUCAAAAAAUGUUCGUCUGAACAAAACAAAUGUUCAUGCAUUUAAAAAAUGCCCAAAAUUUUAAAACAAAUGUUUCUCGAUUAGAAAAAAUGUUCGUCGAUUCAAAAGUCUUUCAUGUCUAGGAUUUGGGUAGUUUUUGGAAAGUCUUUUUAUGUCUAGGCGCUAGGAGUAGUUUGUGGUCCAUGAAAUUUGUUUUUAAAGUUUUAAACAAUCUCUAGCGCGCGUGCCAUGCAGUGCCAAGCUCAUUGCCUUGGGAUUUACCACGUCAAAUGCAUUGCGAUCACAUGCAUAUCGUGUACAUCAUCAACGAGGGUGUGGGAAGAAAGAUAAGUGGAAACAUGGUGAGCCACCAUGUGAAAAUAAAGAACACUCAUAAUUUGGGGUAUUGAGUCAUACUUAUUUGGCUGGCGUGUAACUUUUUUGUCUCCCGUUGCAACGCACGGGCAUGUUUGCUAGUAUGUUCAAUUGGGUGAAAGGUGAAAGAAGGAUAAGCGUUGCGAGCAGCACGGUGAAAACCUAAUCGCCAAUCCCCUUCCGUCCUCGCAUCUCGCCCACUUUCUCCUCCCUUCGCCGCCGCCUCCUCUCCUCGCCUCUUCCCAUGCUCUACACCACCACCACCACCACCACCACCACCACCACGCCCCUGCUCCUACACCGCCUCGCCGCCGGCCGUCUCUGCGCCUGUUCGUCUGCCCCCUCGGAAGGCACCGAGUUGCGGCCAGCCCGUGCUCAGCCUCCGCCCAUGCGCUCGAGAAGAAGAGAGGGGCAGCCGCAGGGUAGGAGCAGCCACAACAGUCGCCAGUGCUGCCUCAU
Molecule: long non-coding RNA, 7143 nt
Filed under: Triticum aestivum (bread wheat)
Lineage: Eukaryota; Viridiplantae; Streptophyta; Magnoliopsida; Poales; Poaceae
Description: long non-coding RNA (TAES_LNC014585)
Source: RNAcentral